AGAGUUUGAUCCUGGCUCAGGAUUAACGCUGGCGGCAUGCCUAAUACAUGCAAGUCGAACGAAGACCUUCGGGUCUUAGUGGCGAACGGGUGAGUAAUACAUAGGUAACCUGCCUCUAAGAUGGGGAUAACUUUUGGAAACGAAAGGUAAUACCGAAUAGGACAUUAUAAAUCGCAUGAUUAAAUGUUUAAAAGAGCAAUCUGCUUAGAGAGGGGCCUGUGGCGCAUUAGCUAGUUGGUGAGGUAAGGGCUCACCAAGGCAGUGAUGCGUAGCCGGACUGAGAGGUUGAACGGCCACAAUGGGACUGAGAGACGGCCCAUACUCCUACGGGAGGCAGCAGUAGGGAAUUUUCGGCAAUGGACGAAAGUCUGACCGAGCAAUGCCGCGUGAACGAAGAAGUUAUUCGUAAUGUAAAGUUCUUUUAUUAGGGACGAAAACACGUAUUGACGGUACCUAAUGAAUAAGCCCCGGCUAACUACGUGCCAGCAGCCGCGGUAAUACGUAGGGGGCAAGCGUUAUCCGGAUUUAUUGGGCGUAAAGGGUGCGUAGACGGCAUAAGAAGUCUUUUGUAAAAUUGUUGGGCUCAACCCAAUCAAGCAAAAGAAACUCUUAAGCUAGAGUACGGUAGAGGCAAGUGGAAUUCCAUGUGUAGCGGUAAAAUGCGUAAAUAUAUGGAGGAACACCAGUGGCGAAGGCGGCUUGCUGGGCCUGUACUGACGUUGAGGCACGAAAGCGUGGGUAGCAAACAGGAUUAGAUACCCUGGUAGUCCACGCCCUAAACGAUGAGUACUAAGUGUUACCGUAAGGUAGUGCUGAAGUUAACGCAUUAAGUACUCCGCCUGAGUAGUACGUACGCAAGUAUGAAACUUAAAGGAAUUGACGGGAGCCCGCACAAGCGGUGGAGCAUGUUGUUUAAUUCGAAGAUACGCGAAGAACCUUACCAGGUCUUGACAUCUGAGGCGAAGCUAUAGAGAUAUAGUGGAGGUUAGCCUCAAGACAGGUGGUGCAUGGUUGUCGUCAGCUCGUGUCGUGAGAUGUUGGGUUAAGUCCCGCAACGAGCGCAACCCUUAUUUCUAGUUACCAGCAGUAAGAUGGGGACUCUAGAGAGACUGCCAGUGAUAAACUGGAGGAAGGUGGGGAUGACGUCAAAUCAUCAUGCCCCUUAUGACCUGGGCUACAAACGUGCUACAAUGGCUGAAACAAAGAGAGGCGAACUCGUGAGAGUAAGCAAAACUCAUAAAAGCAGUCUCAGUUCGGAUUGAAGUCUGCAACUCGACUUCAUGAAGUUGGAAUCGCUAGUAAUCGCGAAUCAGAAUGUCGCGGUGAAUACGUUCUCGGGCUUUGUACACACUGCCCGUCAAACCAUGAGAGUUUGUAAUACCCGAAGCCGGUGGCCUAACCGCAAGGAAGGAGCCGUCUAAGGUAGGACAGAUGAUUGGGGUUAAGUCGUAACAAGGUAUCCCUACGAGAACGUGGGGAUGGAUCACCUCCUUU
Molecule: ribosomal RNA, 1494 nt
Filed under: gut metagenome
Description: bacterial SSU rRNA
Rfam family: Bacterial small subunit ribosomal RNA
Source: RNAcentral